RNAcentral lists this ribosomal RNA (258 nucleotides) under uncultured bacterium. RNAcentral's name for it is "partial 16S ribosomal RNA". It matches the Rfam family "Bacterial small subunit ribosomal RNA", at positions 28 to 314 of the family's 1533-position model. The record is from RNAcentral.
GACUAACGCUGGCGGCAGGCCUAAUACAUGCAAGUCGAACGCUCCGCAAGGGGAGUGGCGCACGGGAGAGUAACGCGUGGGAACCUACCUAUUGGUUCGGGACAACACCGGGAAACUGGUGCUAAUACCGGAUAAGCCCGAGAGGGGAAAGGAUUUAUCGCCGAUAGAUGGGCCCGCCGUUAGAUUAGCUAGUUGGUGAGGUAACGGCUCACCAAGGCGACGAUCUAUAGCUGGUCUGAGAGGAUGAUCAGCCUCACU